This 526-nucleotide ribosomal RNA is filed under the name uncultured eukaryote. RNAcentral describes it as "bacterial SSU rRNA". It matches the Rfam family "Eukaryotic small subunit ribosomal RNA", at positions 24 to 545 of the family's 1831-position model. The record is from RNAcentral.
UCAUAUGCUUGUCUCAAAGAUUAAGCCAUGCAUGUGUAAGUAUAAACAUCUUUAUACUGUGAAACUGCGUACAGCUCAUUAUAUCAGUUAUUAUUUAUUUGAUGGUACCUUACUACAUGGAUAACCGUAGUAAUUCUAGAGCUAAUACAUGCGUAAAAUCCCGACCUUGCGGAAUGGGAUGUAUUUAUUAGAUAAAAAAUCAAUGCCCCCUUCUGGGGUGCCUCAUUGGUGACUCAUAGUAACUUUUCGAAUCGCAUGGCUUUGCCGGCGAUAGUUCAUUCAAAUUUCUGCCCUAUCAGCUUCCGACGGUAGUGUAGUGGACUACCGUGGCGUUAACGGGUGACGGAGAAUUAGGGUUCGAUUCCGGAGAGGGAGCCUGAGAAACGGCUACCACAUCCAAGGAAGGCAGCAGGCGCGCAAAUUACCCAAUCCUGAUACAGGGAGGUAGUGACAAAAAAUAACAAUACGGGGCCCUUUGUGGUCGUGUAAUUGGAAUGAGUCUAACUUAAAAACCUUAACGAGGAUC